UUUUUAGACGGAAGAGGUGCUUGUAAACUUAACUAUUAAUACUGCUGUAUUUGUGAAAUUAGCGUGUUUGUAGUAAUUGCUUAGCAUCCAACUUUUUGUCUGAAAGAAUGUCGGCAAAGCUGUCUGCUGUGCUUGUGCUAAUCUGUGUUUUACGGUU
Mytilus californianus (California mussel) is the source of this 157-nucleotide long non-coding RNA. RefSeq lists it as uncharacterized. The transcript is spliced from 2 exons. The record is from RefSeq and is a predicted model, not a curated record. NCBI's taxonomy places the organism in Eukaryota, Metazoa, Mollusca, Bivalvia, Mytilida, Mytilidae.